Molecule: ribosomal RNA, 753 nt
Filed under: uncultured archaeon
Lineage: Archaea
Description: bacterial SSU rRNA
Rfam family: Archaeal small subunit ribosomal RNA
Source: RNAcentral
UGCUAGUCGCACGGGUUCAGACCCGUGGCGAAUAGCUCCGUAACACGUGGCCAAACUACCCUAUGGAUCGGAAUAACCUCGGGAAACUGAGGCUAAUACCGAAUACCGCUCUCACGUUGGAAUUACAGAGAGCACGAAACGCCCCGGCGCCAUAGGAUGUGGCUGCGGCCGAUUAGGUAGACGGUGGGGUAACGGCCCACCGUGCCGAUAAUCGGUACGGGUUGUGAGAGCAAGAACCCGGAGACGGUAUCUGAGACAAGAUACCGGGCCCUACGGGGCGCAGCAGGCGCGAAACCUUUACGCUGCACGAACGUGCGAUAAGGGGACUCCAAGUGCGAGGGCAUACAGUCCUCGCUUUUCCCUACCGUAAGGUGGUAGGUGAAUAAGAGCUGGGCAAGACCGGUGCCAGCCGCCGCGGUAAUACCGGCAGCUCGAGUGAUGGCCAAUAUUAUUGGGCCUAAAGCGUCCGUAGCUGGCCGAACAGGUCCGACGGGAAAUCCGCUCGCUCAACGAGCGGACGUCCGGUGGAAACCAGUCGGCUUGGGACCGGAAGACCCGAGGGGUACGUCCGGGGUAGGAGUGAAAUCCUGUAAUCCUGGACGGACCACCGGUGGCGAAAGCGCCUCGGGAGGACGGAUCCGACAGUGAGGGACGAAAGCUUGGGUCACGAACCGGAUUAGAUACCCGGGUAGUCCAAGCUGUAAACGAUGCUCGCUAGGUGUGGCACUGGCUACGAGCCAGUGCUGUGCCGUA